AAAAGGAAUCCCAUGGAGGGACUGAUUGUGUCUAAGUGGUCCAAACUUAUCCAAAUUAGGGCUUCCCGUUCCCUUUUUGUUGAUCGGGCAAAAGAAAUGGAAUGCUACAACUGAAAGCAAUCGACGCGAAGAACACAGAUGAAUGGCAAACGCAAACAAACAAUCGAUGGGUCGAAAGAGAGCACGGAGGUUCGUCGCUCGACUCGCAAUCGGUGGUGGCCUCCGGCGUUCGACUAGACUAAAGAAGGAGAAGGAUCGCAGCAGCGAGGUGGCUGUGACCUCGGACGAGAAGGAAGAGACGAAGCAGCGGGGCUGCUCGUCUAGUUGCGAAGGGGAAAGAGGUCCGAAGGGGGUCUGGGAGGCGUCGCGAGCAGCAGCAGCGACGAUGACGGGGUGUUUGGUGGGUUUGCUCGACGGGAGGGGAAGAGGAGGGUGCGAGGGUUCGGUUGUCGGUCUCGGUGGUUCUGCGAUGAGGCUAGUUGAGACCGGUGGUUUUGAGUUUUCAGUCGUAUGGGUAGUGGAGGGGAGUUCGAUCGUGGCUGAUUAUUGAUUCGGGAAAGGCAGCAGCUAUCAACACAGGAAAUCGGUAGGCUCAAGUGGGUGUUUGGCUUUGGUUCUUGACAAGAAAGAAGGAUGGACGAGGGAUGCUGCUACUCCAUGGCAUAACUCUAAGGUAAAAUUCCUUUUUUUUUUUUUUUUUUUUUUUUUCCUGUGAUUUCUAUGUUCAACAGAGAUUGAAUGGAAGUUUUUAUGAGUAUAAAACCAUACUUGUAAAAACAUUCGUAUAGGUAGGUUUUUAUUGACAGGAAUUGAAGAAUGAGAAAGGAUGCGAGGGGGUCCUUACAGCUUCAGCUAAACCAAGGAACACGUUAUGUGCGUAGUUAUCCUUGUGUAUGUAUGUGUAUAAAAACAUGUUUAUUUUUGUACGUAAAAUUGUAUAAGCCUUUGUGUGUUGUUUUAGAUGUGCAAGAUUUGGCGGUUGUCUUUUA
This is a long non-coding RNA of Lactuca sativa (garden lettuce), 989 nucleotides long. RefSeq lists it as uncharacterized. Lineage: Eukaryota; Viridiplantae; Streptophyta; Magnoliopsida; Asterales; Asteraceae. The record is from RefSeq and is a predicted model, not a curated record.